This 575-nucleotide long non-coding RNA is filed under the name Mytilus galloprovincialis (Mediterranean mussel). The record is from RNAcentral. Lineage: Eukaryota; Metazoa; Mollusca; Bivalvia; Mytilida; Mytilidae.
AAGAAAUAUUUGUUUUCAAAAUCUAAAAUUGGUCAGGUGAGCCACUCCUGUGAGUCAUUGAAUAGAAGCUCACAGAUUUCUUGUUAUAAAUUAUGGUGAUUGUAGAUUGACAGGGGUGGAUCUAUGCGGUUUUAGCUUGAAACUUUUAUUUCUCGUUAAUUUACAAAGGCACUUGUCUCAAAAUUUCCCCCCCCCCUAUAUAUACCUUAAUAUAGGAUUUUUUCUGAGACAUUGUGCCUGUGUUAAUUUACCACAAAAUAUUUCUCGCCACGUUUUGCUUGGCAGGCAAGAUAUCUACAAAGCACCCUCUCUAAAAGAAUAUUCCAAUGUUUCGAUAAUUAUACCUAAAAAAAAUAACUUUGCGUCCCCCUCCCCUAAUCUAAAAUCCUUGAUCCGCCCAUCAUAAUACAUGAAAUAGUGCAACACAAAUAAACUUUACCUCGCUGCUAGUUAAUCGGUCGCCAUUUUGUGCUUGGUCACAUGAUAUGAAUAAGAUGGUGCAAACGGGGACCGAGUGUAUCACGUCCGCGCUUUGCGAGUUUCCAACAUGUAAGCCGUCACACAAACUAUGUCCG